This is a long non-coding RNA of Herpailurus yagouaroundi (jaguarundi), 305 nucleotides long. RefSeq lists it as uncharacterized. The transcript is spliced from 3 exons. NCBI's taxonomy places the organism in Eukaryota, Metazoa, Chordata, Mammalia, Carnivora, Felidae. The record is from RefSeq and is a predicted model, not a curated record.
UCCGCGCAGUGCGCCCCUCUCCCGCCUCCGCCGACCGUGAGGACGUGGGCGGGCCGCGAGCGCCGCCCCGCCCGAAGAAUGACCUUGGAAAGGAAGUUACCUGCGCUCCAGGGCCGAGAGAACAAGUCUUCAAGUUUAAUAUCCGGUGACUCUUACUCACAGCCAGACACUUCAUAAAUCCUUUUUUCAAAAACCCCAGAAUUUACUCUUCCACCAUUUGAUACAUGAAGAGGCAAGAUAAUCUCACCUCUCAUAGCUCCUGAAACAUCUAUCUUCAAAAAGAUACAACGGCUGAAGAACCUUUC